This 313-nucleotide unclassified non-coding RNA is filed under the name Rhagoletis pomonella (apple maggot). Its description in RNAcentral is "gamma-tubulin complex component 4 homolog, transcript variant X4". Lineage: Eukaryota; Metazoa; Arthropoda; Insecta; Diptera; Tephritidae. The record is from RNAcentral.
AUGAAUAUGCGCCUAUCAUUCUUGAUUCGAUACUCCAUACUAUUCACAUCACUAAUGUAAAUACUAUUUGACGUUUUGCGCAUCAGCUGGACAAUUCUUGCAUUGAAGGACUAUUAAAAUAAUAGAAUAUUAAAAAAACACGAAAAGGUUACAAAGUACGAAUCAAGUAAAAUAAUAAUCUGGCAACCCUACUUAUAUCUCAUGAACCCAUGAUCCAACUUCACAAGAUCUGACAACAUGAUGCAAAAGAAAAAAGUAAUUUUCUGGCUGACGUUUGUAAUUUCGGCGCCGUGUUAUUUUCUUUGAAAAGUAA